GCCAUAAUUAGCUCAGUCAGUAGAGCAUGAGACUCAAUCUCAAGGUCGUGGGUUCGAGCCCUGCGUUGGGCA
RNAcentral lists this transfer RNA (72 nucleotides) under Podarcis lilfordi (Lilford's wall lizard). RNAcentral's name for it is "tRNA.Sup". It matches the Rfam family "tRNA". From Rfam's summary of the family: Transfer RNA (tRNA) molecules are approximately 80 nucleotides in length. Lineage: Eukaryota; Metazoa; Chordata; Lepidosauria; Squamata; Lacertidae. The record is from RNAcentral.